UACGUAGGUGGCGAACGUUAUCCGGAUUUACUGGGCGUAAAGGGUCCGCAGGCGGUUUGAUGAGGUCUGACGUAACAUAUCCUGGCUUAACUAGGAAGGGCCGUUGGAAACCGAUAAACUAGACUCACGCAGAGGUCGGUGGAAUUCCCGGUGUAGUGGUGGAAUGCGUAGAUAUCGGGAGGAACGCCAAAAGUGAAGACAGCCGGCUGGGCGAUGAGUGACGCUGAGGGACGAAAGCGUAGGGAGCGAACAGG
Molecule: ribosomal RNA, 254 nt
Filed under: uncultured bacterium
Lineage: Bacteria
Description: partial 16S ribosomal RNA
Rfam family: Bacterial small subunit ribosomal RNA
Source: RNAcentral